CCUACGGGGGGCAGCAGUGGGGAAUAUUGGACAAUGGGCGAAAGCCUGAUCCAGCCAUGCCGCGUGUGUGAAGAAGGCCUUCGGGUUGUAAAGCACUUUCAGUGGGGAAGAAAGCCUUGGGGCUAAUACCCUCGAGGAAGGACAUCACCCACAGAAGAAGCACCGGCUAACUCCGUGCCAGCAGCCGCGGUAAUACGGAGGGUGCGAGCGUUAAUCGGAAUUACUGGGCGUAAAGCGCGCGUAGGCGGUCUGAUAAGCCGGUUGUGAAAGCCCCGGGCUCAACCUGGGAACGGCAUCCGGAACUGUCAGGCUAGAGUGCAGGAGAGGAAGGUAGAAUUCCCGGUGUAGCGGUGAAUUGCGUAGAGAUCGGGAGGAAUACCAGUGGCGAAGGCGGCCUUCUGGACUGACACUGACGCUGAGGUGCGAAAGCGUGGGUAGCAAACAGGACUAGAUACCCCGGUAGUC
This 465-nucleotide ribosomal RNA is filed under the name Vreelandella stevensii. RNAcentral describes it as "partial 16S ribosomal RNA". It matches the Rfam family "Bacterial small subunit ribosomal RNA", at positions 338 to 795 of the family's 1533-position model. Lineage: Bacteria; Pseudomonadati; Pseudomonadota; Gammaproteobacteria; Oceanospirillales; Halomonadaceae. The record is from RNAcentral.